UUGGAGGGCAAGUCUGGUGCCAGCAGCCGCGGUAAUUCCAGCUCCAAUAGCGUAUAUUAAAGUUGUUGCAGUUAAAAAGCUCGUAGUUGAAUUUCGGGAUCAAAUUGUUGGUCGUGCCUUGGUACGUACUGGCAUUAUUGGUUUCUCCCUUCUGAAGAACCAUGAUGUCAUUAAUUUGGUGUCAUGGGGAAUCAGGACUGUUACUUUGAAAAAAUUAGAGUGUUUAAAGCAGGCUCGCGCUUGAAUACAUUAGCAUGGAAUAAUGAAAUAGGACGUUUAAUUCUAUUUUGUUGGUUUCUAGGAUUGACGUAAUGAUUAAUAGGGAUAGUUGGGGGCAUUAGUAUUCAAUUGUCAGAGGUGAAAUUCUUGGAUUUAUUGAAGACUAACUACUGCGAAAGCAUUUGCCAAGGAUGUUUUCAUUAAUCAAGAACGAAAGUUAGGGGAUCGAAGACGAUCAGAUACCGUCGUAGUCUUAACCAUAAACUAUGCCGACUAGGGAUCGGAUGAUGUUAAUUUUUUAAUGACUCAUUCGGCGCCUUACGGGAAACCAAAGUGUUUGGGUU
This 563-nucleotide ribosomal RNA is filed under the name Glomeromycotina sp. Its description in RNAcentral is "SSU rRNA". It matches the Rfam family "Eukaryotic small subunit ribosomal RNA", at positions 548 to 1113 of the family's 1831-position model. The record is from RNAcentral. Lineage: Eukaryota; Fungi; Glomeromycota.